UACGUAGGUGGCAAGCGUUAUCCGGAUUUAUUGGGCGUAAAGGGAACGCAGGCGGUCUUUUAAGUCUGAUGUGAAAGCCUUCGGCUUAACCGGAGUAGUGCAUUGGAAACUGGGGGACUUGAGUGCAGAAGAGGAGAGUGGAACUCCAUGUGUAGCGGUGAAAUGCGUAGAUAUAUGGAAGAACACCAGUGGCGAAAGCGGCUCCCUGGUCUGUAACUGACGCUGAGGUUCGAAAGCGUGGGUAGCAAACAGG
RNAcentral lists this ribosomal RNA (253 nucleotides) under uncultured bacterium. RNAcentral describes it as "partial 16S ribosomal RNA". It matches the Rfam family "Bacterial small subunit ribosomal RNA", at positions 524 to 776 of the family's 1533-position model. The record is from RNAcentral.